This 62-nucleotide ribosomal RNA is filed under the name Pratylenchus penetrans. RNAcentral describes it as "partial 28S ribosomal RNA". It matches the Rfam family "Eukaryotic large subunit ribosomal RNA", at positions 11 to 72 of the family's 3401-position model. Lineage: Eukaryota; Metazoa; Nematoda; Chromadorea; Rhabditida; Pratylenchidae. The record is from RNAcentral.
UCAGACGUGAGUACCUGCUGAACUUAAGCAUAUCAGUAAGCAGAGGAAAGGAAACUAACAAG